AAAAAAAAAAAAGAACAAAAAAAAAAUAAAAUGAAACAUUAUGCAUGUUAAUAACUUUCUCUAUGGUUUUGGAAAUGUUUUAAUGGAAAUUAAAUAAGUUUGUAUCGAGAUGUCUCACUUUUUGUUUGCAUACUUAGUUGUGCAGAAUCUUUUAGUUGCACUUAAACAUAAAACAAAAGCAUGAAACAAACUGUGGUUUGCCCCAUUAUUUGCAUGUUUCUUCCUGUCUAUGUGAGCAAUUCAUCGCCAGAAUAAACUGCAAUGUGGAGCUUUAUGGUGAUAGUCAAACAAGUCUACAAGGGACUCACACAACAGACGGGAAGAAUAAAGCCAAGAGCAUAUCCACAGAUCAUAGGAGGGAGAAGCAGCCAAAACAUCACUGUGUGCUGUUCAGACCCCAGAAAAUGUCUUCACAACAUUUUUUACACCAUUUGCGAGCCCUUUUUUCCAGUAAAACCAUUAUCAUCUCUGUUCCACUGAGCUUUUUGUUAAUUGGGCUACAGGCAUUCAUGGAUGUCCAGUUUUCGUGCCCAUGUAUUGUUAUGUGGAACCAAGCGACAUCAAGCCUUGUCUUCAUCAUACCUGCGCUUUUUGUUUUUACUUUAAUGGUCCUAAUUUUGAGGCCUUUUAAAAGUGAAGCUGGACAAUCUGUUUCUAUAUCAGAAUUUCUAGCUUGUUUUAUUCCACCUGUCGUGUGGGUCUGUCUGCUGUUCCUCGAUGGUGAUUAUCUUGCUUGUGGACUGACAGACUGGAAUGGAAACUAUACUUGUGAUAAAAUGCUGAAUCCAAAUAGUCUGAAUUGGUGUGAACCCAGUGAAUGGAUCGAAGGAAGAACGAAGGCUACACUGUAUGACCAAACACGAAAGGCUGUUUUUAUAUCGAAGUUUAUAGGUUAUGGUCUGGCUGCUUUCUUCUGCAUUCCAGCACUUUUUGUUGUGUUUAUAAUCGACUGCAAAAGUGGAACAUCAAACAGCACCAGAAAUGGAGGUUCAGAGAUAUUGGAGGACAGCACUUAAUAGUGACAGCUCUAGCAGUCAGUGUUUUGCAAAGCCAUAAAGCUAUUUGAAACGGUACAACAGUACAGUGAAUAUUUAAUUAUGCCCCUUUUUGUGACUGCAAAAGAGCAACAACGUUUUCGCAACUCAAAAGUUAAACACUACUAAACAUCUAAAAACUAUAUAGACUUUCAUCAAUUGGCAUGUGGGUUAUGUCUAAUUUCUUCUUUUUGUCUGUGUGAAUGAUGUUUAUCAUUGUAUAACCACAGGAUGUGUGGGUUUUCUGCACCUGAAGUACAGUGCUAGCUUUUCUCAUCUGCCAGUUUUUGUGUAAUGAGAUGUUUAACUUGCCAUUUCUUUGUAGUUAAUCAUGAAAUGUAAUUGGAAUUUCUGAGUAAAAAUUGUGCCAAAUUCUUUUCAGUGUAAUUGUUCCAUCUUCACUGUCU
This 1441-nucleotide long non-coding RNA is filed under the name Sinocyclocheilus anshuiensis. Its description in RNAcentral is "lncRNA (ENSSANG00000048373.1)". The record is from RNAcentral. Lineage: Eukaryota; Metazoa; Chordata; Actinopteri; Cypriniformes; Cyprinidae.